ACUGAUCAUUUUCCCUUUUUCCCAAUUCAUCUCCUUCCCAAUCCCUAAUGAUUCCAAUUUUAAAUUCUGAUUUCCCAAAUUUCCCAAAUUAUUGGGCCCUAACUCCAUUUCUUCCUUGAAUCCUCUCUCCAUUUCACCUUCAUCCAUGGAAAUACCUCCCUCUUCAGACGAUCCUUGUCCCCAAGGAUCAAAAUCUAGAAAUUAGGCACGCAGAACAGUGUAGUCUUCCCACGUUGCAUCUUUCUUCCCCAAAUUUGUCCAUUGAAUCAGGAGUUGUGUAACUGCCUGAUUAUUUCGUUUCACUAUCCUUUUGUUUAACACACCAGCUGGGUAUACCUUCAAGUUUCCAUCAACAUCAAUCUCAGGUGAAUCGAGUGAGGGACCAAAAAAUCGAUCAGCAAGUUUUAAGUUCUUUCGAAGUGCCAGGGACGUUUGUUGGUAUGGUUAUAUCUUAAGGUGGAUCAACUCCUUUCUUGCUGCUUGUUGGAGUCAGUUGAUCUCCUUCAUCUGCACUUUUGGCUAUCAUCUGAAGAAUCCUCUGUGGACUGAGAUUCCAAGGUGGAUAAACGUUACUCUCAAUUAUCUCUUUGAGCUUCCCACCACCUCGGUGUCAAUGCUUUUGUCUGGUAGCGUAACAUAUUACUUCUUGGUUGGAUUCCUUCCAACGGCAUUUUCAAUAGACUCCGUAGGUGGGUUGUCCUCCUAGCCUUCAACUAAUUCAUCAAUCUGGACCUCUUCCUUGGGCUGAUCAAUAAUCCCUUCCCCAACAUUUACAUCAUGUAAUUUCUUAACCCCAAUAUUAUUUUUACUGAUCACUUUCCCUUUUUCCCAAUUCAUCUCCUUCCCAAUCCUUAACGAUUCCAAUCUCAAAUUCUGAUUUUUCAAAUUAUCCAAAUUAUUGAGCCUUAACUCCAUUUUUUCCUUGAAUCUUCUCUCCAUUUCGCCUUCAGCCACGACAAAACCUUGCAUUUGACAUAAAUUAAAGAACCAUAACAAUUAAUAUAAAACCCUAAACCCACGCAUAAAAUUUCCCAAGUUAAAAACUUGGAUGAAAUAGGAAAAGGGGUAGAGAGAAAUACACAUACCAAAUUGAAACUAUUUAGAAAAUUCAAAAUUG
This is a long non-coding RNA of Hibiscus syriacus, 1117 nucleotides long. RefSeq lists it as uncharacterized. Lineage: Eukaryota; Viridiplantae; Streptophyta; Magnoliopsida; Malvales; Malvaceae. The transcript has 4 exons. The record is from RefSeq and is a predicted model, not a curated record.